Apis florea (little honeybee) is the source of this 330-nucleotide long non-coding RNA. The record is from RefSeq and is a predicted model, not a curated record. NCBI's taxonomy places the organism in Eukaryota, Metazoa, Arthropoda, Insecta, Hymenoptera, Apidae.
ACUUAUACCAUCCAUUUGAACUAAAAGUUCAGAUUUUACUCGUCGUGAAGCUUCAUGUUCAGAUUCAGAUCCUCUUCUAGAGCAUAAAGAAUCAAUUUCAUCAAUGAAGAUGGUACUAGGAGCAUAAAAUCUAGCCUGCAUAAAUAUCCAUAAUAAUUAAAAAUUAGUAAAAAAUAAUUUUAAAUUCAUUUCUUGAAAAGAGAUAAAAAACAUAAAUUAAAAAUACCAUUUCAAAAAGGAGACGAACAAGUUUUUCUGAUUCUCCCCUAUAUUUUGAAUUCCUGGUGGACCAACCAUAAGUACUCCUUUCCAAGGGCGACGAAUCCCCUG